This 2253-nucleotide ribosomal RNA is filed under the name human gut metagenome. RNAcentral's name for it is "bacterial LSU rRNA". It matches the Rfam family "Bacterial large subunit ribosomal RNA", at positions 1 to 2307 of the family's 2925-position model. The record is from RNAcentral.
AAAAGUUAAUAAGGGCGUACAGUGAAUGCCUUGGCACUAUUUGGCGAAGAAGGACGCGACUACCUGCGAAAAGCUACGGGGAAUUGGAAGUAAAUAUUGAUCCGUAGAUAUCCGAAUGGGGGAACCCAUCAUCAAUCAAAUGAUGAUAUCUUAAAAUGAAUACAAAGUUUUAAAGAAGUUAGACCUAGGGAAUUGAAACAUCUAAGUACCUAGAGGAGAAGAAAGAUUUAAUCGAUUCCGUAAGUAGCGGCGAGCGAAAGCGGAGGAGCCCAAACCAACGCGAGUUGGGGUUUAGGACUACGAUAGAGAGGAUUUAUUCGAGAAGAAUGGCUUGGGAAAGCCAACCAAAGAGAGUGAGAGUCUCGUAUUUAUAGGAGUGAAUCAAUCAAGUAGCACCAGAGUACGGCGAGGCACGUGGAACCUUGUCUGAAGAUGCGCAGACCACUGCGUAAGGCUAAAUACACAAUAGUGACCGAUAGUGAACCAGUACCGUGAGGGAAAGGUGAAAAGAACCCCGGGAGGGGAGUGAAAAGAAUCUGAAACCGUAUGCUUACAAAAAGUCAGAGGGCGUUAAAGCCUGAUGACGUGCCUAUUGAAGAAUGAGCCGGCGAGUUAUGUUAUCGUGCGAGGUUAAGUCGAAGAGACGGAGCCGAAGCGAAAGCGAGUCUAAAGAGGGCUACAGUACGAUGACAUAGACCCGAAACCCGACGAUCUAGCCAUGAGCAGGAUGAAGGUGGGGUACAACCCACUGGAGGUCCGAACCGACGUUCGUUGAAACGCCCGCGGAUGACUUGUGGCUCGCGGUGAAAUUCCAAUCGAGUUGGGUUAUAGCUGGUUCUCCCCGAAAUAGCUUUAGGGCUAGCCUCAGGGUUAGCUACUUGCUGGUAGAGCACUGAAUGAUAGAUGGCCGCGUCUAGCGGUACUGAUAUCAAUCAAACUCCGAAUAGUGAGAUAGUAUACCUGGGAGUCAGUCUGUGGGAGAUAAGUUCCAUGGACAAGAGGAAAAGAGUCCAGACCGCCAAAUAAGGUCCCAAAAUCUAUACUAAGUGUAAAAGGAUGUAGAGAUGCAUAGACAACUAGGAUGUUGGCUCAGAAGCAGCCAUCAUUUAAAGAGUGCGUAACAGCUCACUAGUCGAGUGCCUCCGCGCCGAAAAUUUACCGGGGCUAAGUAUAGUACCGAAGUUGCGGAUUUGAGAAAAUGGUAGGGGAGCGUUCCAUCAUCGGCGAAGCGAUACCGAAAGGAGUCGUGGAGAGGAUGGAAGUGAGAAUGCCGGUGUAAGUAACGAUAUUGGGUGAGAAUCCCAAUCACCAUUAGACUAAGGUUUCCUGGGGAAGGUUCGUCCGCCCAGGGUAAGUCGGGACCUAAGGCGAGGCUGAGAAGCGUAGCCGAUGGACGACAGGUUGAUAUUCCUGUACCCGUAUAUAAGUGAAGUAAUGACAGAGAAGGCUAGAUCGGCUACCUACUGGAUGGUAGUACAAGCGAGAUAGCAGGUGCAAAGGCAAAUCCGUGCACAGAAUGCAAGGCGUGAAGUGGAGCGAACGAGCAAUCAAGUAGCGAAGCGAUUGAUGCCAGCUUUCAAGAAAAGUUGCUAACGUAAUUAUAUGCGGCCCGUACCGAGAACGGACACACGUGGUCAAGGAGAGUAUCCUAAGGUGAGCGAGUGAACUGUUGUUAAGGAACUCUGCAAAAUUACUUCGUAAGUUCGCAAGAAGAAGUGCUACAGCGAUGUAGCCGCAGUGAAGAGGCCCAAGUAACUGUUUAACAAAAACACAGCUUUAUGCUAAGUCGUAAGACGAUGUAUAUGAGGUGAUGCCUGCCCAGUGCUGGAAGGUUAAAAGGAGAUGUGCAAGCAUUGAUCUGAAGCCCCAGUGAACGGCGGCCGUAACUAUAACGGUCCUAAGGUAGCGAAAUUCCUUGUCGGGUAAGUUCCGACGCGCAUGAAUGGUAUAAUAAUUUGGGCGCUGUCUCGACAGCAGACUCGGUGAAAUCUUAAUACCGGUGAAGAUGCCGGUUACCCGCGACUAGACGGAAAGACCCCAUGGAGCUUUACUAUAGCUUAAUAUUGAAUAGUUGAAAAUCCUGUACAGGAUAGGUAGGAGACAAAGAAGUUUGUGCGUCAGCAUGAAUGGAGUCAACGGUGGGAUACUACUCUUGAUUUUCGAUUGUUCUAACUUAGAAUCAAAACGGGUUCGAGGACAGUGUUAGGUGGGUAGUUUGACUGGGGCGGUCGCCUCCUAAAGAGUAACGGAGGC